AUUGAACGCUGGCGGCAGGCCUAACACAUGCAAGUCGAGCGAGCGGCGGACGGGUGAGUAAUGUAUGGGGACUGCCCGAUAGAGGGGUAUAACUACUGGAAACGGUGGCUAAUACCGCAUACUUUAGGGUAACCCAUAUGGGAUUAGCUAGUAGGUAAGGUAAUGGCUUACCUAGGCGACGAUCCCUAGCUGGUCUGAGAGGAUGAUCAGCCACACUGGGACUGAGACACGGCCCAGACUCCUACGGAGGCAGCAGUGGGGAAUAUUGCACAAUGGGCGCAAGCCUGAUGCAGCCAUGCCGCGUGUAUGAAGAAGGCCCUAGGGUUGUAAAGUACUGUCAGUCGGGAGGCGUUACCGACAGAAGAAGCACCGGCUAACUCCGUGCCAGCAGCCGCGGUAAUAC
This 403-nucleotide ribosomal RNA is filed under the name uncultured bacterium. RNAcentral's name for it is "partial 16S ribosomal RNA". It matches the Rfam family "Bacterial small subunit ribosomal RNA", at positions 30 to 526 of the family's 1533-position model. The record is from RNAcentral.